CCUACGGGUGGCAGCAGUAGGGAAUAUUGCUCAAUGGGGGAAACCCUGAUGCAGCAACGCCGCGUGGAGGAUGAAGGUUUUCGGAUUGUAAACUUCUUUUGUUAGAGAAGAAAAUGACGGUAUCUAACGAAUAAGCCCCGGCUAACUACGUGCCAGCAGCCGCGGUAAUACGGAGGGUGCAAGCGUUACCCGGAAUUACUGGGCGUAAAGAGCGCGUAGGCGGGUUAGCAAGUCAGAUGUGAAAGCCUAGGGCUUAACCAUAGAACUGCAUUUGAAACUGUUAUUCUAGAGUAGGGGAGAGGUAGGUGGAAUUCCUGGUGUAGGGGUGAAAUGCGGAGAGAUCAAGAGGAAUA
RNAcentral lists this ribosomal RNA (353 nucleotides) under uncultured bacterium. RNAcentral describes it as "partial 16S ribosomal RNA". It matches the Rfam family "Bacterial small subunit ribosomal RNA", at positions 338 to 708 of the family's 1533-position model. The record is from RNAcentral.